This 154-nucleotide ribosomal RNA is filed under the name uncultured Thelephoraceae. RNAcentral's name for it is "5.8S ribosomal RNA". It matches the Rfam family "5.8S ribosomal RNA". Rfam says of the family: 5.8S ribosomal RNA (5.8S rRNA) is a component of the large subunit of the eukaryotic ribosome. It is transcribed by RNA polymerase I as part of the 45S precursor that also contains 18S and 28S rRNA. Lineage: Eukaryota; Fungi; Basidiomycota; Agaricomycetes; Thelephorales; Thelephoraceae. The record is from RNAcentral.
CUUUCAGCAACGGAUCUCUUGGCUCUCGCAUCGAUGAAGAACGCAGCGAAAUGCGAUAAGUAAUGUGAAUUGCAGAAUUCAGUGAAUCAUCGAAUCUUUGAACGCACCUUGCGCCCUUUGGCUAUUCCGGAGGGCAUGCCUGUUUGAGUAUCAU